RNAcentral lists this ribosomal RNA (1043 nucleotides) under Bacillus sp. (in: firmicutes). RNAcentral describes it as "bacterial SSU rRNA". It matches the Rfam family "Bacterial small subunit ribosomal RNA", at positions 50 to 1061 of the family's 1533-position model. Lineage: Bacteria; Bacillati; Bacillota; Bacilli; Caryophanales; Bacillaceae. The record is from RNAcentral.
CAUAUAUGCAGUCGAGCGGAUCUUUGGGAGCUUGCUCCCAAAGGUUAGCGGCGGACGGGUGAGUAACACGUGGGCAACCUGCCUGUAAGACUGGGAUAACUUCGGGAAACCGGAGCUAAUACCGGAUAACAUAAGAGACCACAUGGUCUCCUAUUAAAAGAUGGCCUCGGCUAUCACUUACAGAUGGGCCCCGCGGCGCAUUAGCUAGUUGGUGAGGUAACGGCUCACCAAGGCGACGAUGCGUAGCCGACCUGAGAGGGUGAUCGGCCACACUGGGACUGAGACACGGCCCCAGACUCCUACGGGAGGCAGCAGUAGGGAAUCUUCCGCAAUGGACGAAAGUCUGACGGAGCAACGCCGCGUGAGCGAAGAAGGCCUUCGGGUCGUAAAGCUCUGUUGUUAGGGAAGAACAAGUAUCGUUCGAAUAGGGCGGUACCUUGACGGUACCUAACCAGAAAGCCACGGCUAACUACGUGCCAGCAGCCGCGGUAAUACGUAGGUGGCAAGCGUUAUCCGGAAUUAUUGGGCGUAAAGCGCGCGCAGGCGGUCCUUUAAGUCUGAUGUGAAAGCCCACGGCUCAACCGUGGAGGGUCAUUGGAAACUGGGGGACUUGAGUGCAGAAGAGGAGAGCGGAAUUCCACGUGUAGCGGUGAAAUGCGUAGAGAUGUGGAGGAACACCAGUGGCGAAGGCGGCUCUCUGGUCUGUAACUGACGCUGAGGCGCGAAAGCGUGGGGAGCGAACAGGAUUAGAUACCCUGGUAGUCCACGCCGUAAACGAUGAGUGCUAAGUGUUAGAGGGUUUCCGCCCUUUAGUGCUGCAGCAAACGCAUUAAGCACUCCGCCUGGGGGGAGUACGGUCGCAAGACUGAAACUCAAAGGAAUUGACGGGGGCCCGCACACAGCGGUGGGAGCAUGUGGUUUAAUUUGAAGCAACGCGAAGAACCUUAACCAGGUCUUGACAUCCCGUGACAACUCUGGAGACAGAGCGUUCCCCUUCGGGGGGACACGGAUGACAGGUGGAUUGCAAUUGGUGUCGUCAGCUC